CGGACGGGUGAGUAACGCGUGAGAAUCUGCCUUCAGGUUCGGGACAACCAUUGGAAACGGUGGCUAAUACCGGAUGUGCCUAAGGGUGAAAGAUUUAUCACCUGAAGAUGAGCUCGCGUCUGAUUAGCUAGUAGGUGUGGUAAGGGCGCACCUAGGCGACGAUCAGUAGCUGGUCUGAGAGGAUGAUCAGCCACACUGGGACUGAGACACGGCCCAGACUCCUACGGGAGGCAGCAGUGGGGAAUUUUCCGCAAUGGGCGAAAGCCUGACGGAGCAAUACCGCGUGAGGGAGGAAGGCUCUUGGGUUGUAAACCUCUUUUCUCAGGGAAGAAAAAAAUGACGGUACCUGAGGAAUAAGCAUCGGCUAACUCCGUGCCAGCAGCCGCGGUAAUACGGAGGAUGCAAGCGUUAUCCGGAAUGAUUGGGCGUAAAGCGUCCGCAGGUGGCUAUGUAAGUCUGCUGUUAAAUAGUGAGGCUCAACCUCAUAAAGGCAGUGGAAACUACAUGGCUAGAGUGCGUUCGGGGCAGAGGGAAUUCCUGGUGUAGCGGUGAAAUGCGUAGAGAUCAGGAAGAACACCGGUGGCGAAAGCGCUCUGCUAGGCCGCAACUGACACUGAGGGACGAAAGCUAGGGGAGCGAAUGGGAUUAGAUACCCCAGUAGUC
This 663-nucleotide ribosomal RNA is filed under the name uncultured cyanobacterium. RNAcentral describes it as "bacterial SSU rRNA". It matches the Rfam family "Bacterial small subunit ribosomal RNA", at positions 99 to 795 of the family's 1533-position model. Lineage: Bacteria; Bacillati; Cyanobacteriota. The record is from RNAcentral.